AAGCCGGGCCCUGCUCUUUUCGGGACAGUAGCGCCUAAAGCGGCCCUUUCCGGAUGUGGGUUCCCCUGACAAGUGCUUGGGGGGUAACCCGUGAAACCGAAAGCCUGGCCACACCCUCCGCGGAUGCGGCGCGCCAGCUGGAUGUCCUUGGGCAUGAUGGUGACGCGCUUGGCGUGGAUGGCGCACAGGUUGGUGUCCUCGAAGAGCCCCACCAGGAUAAUGCGAACAAGUUCUCUACCGCUGUUCACUUAGCAGUCUGUCCUGGAUCUUUGGCUGUAAUGGGACCCAGAGCUCUCCAUCUCUUUCCACAGAUGGCCACCAUGCUUCCCUUUCCACAUGGGGAAUCCUAACUACAAAGGAAACAGAUAAGGAAGCAGGGAUUACAAACAACGCCAGGAACAUUCCCGCACGUGUGUUUCGGCACCUAUGUGGACACACGUGUGUUGUUUGUAACCCAGAACCAGAAAUCACUGGGUCAAACCCUAAACUUUUUCAGAGUUCUUGUACCAGUUUACCUGCUCUGGAAUCAAAAAAUGAAAAUUAAAGCCACAGUUAUAAACAUCUGGAUAAACCUCACAAACCUAGUAUCGAGUAAAAUUUAGAUGAAAAUCCCUGUUUCACAUCCUUCUAGUUUUGUUUAUUUUUUUCAUUAAAAAUGUUAGUCUUCUUAAAUGUUAUCCAUCGUGGCAGAUGUGUGGUACCUCCCUGUGGUUUUCUUUUGCAUCUCUUGCCCAUUUUUCUACUGCACUGUGUGCUCCUCUGCUUGGUCUGCCCCCAACAAAACACCACGGCCUGGGUGCCUUACACAGACACGUAUUUUCCCACAGUUCUGGAGCUCCACGACUGAUGUUCACAGGGCUGACCUGCCGUCCUCAGCCCCCCUGGAGGAAGAGCAGAUCCUGUGUGGCCCAAAGCUCCCAUUAGGAGUUAUACUGUUGACUGUCCAGUGGCCAAGGCCACCAGGUAAACAAAGACACUCUUAUCAGGCAGGACACUCCAAGGGCCUAGAGACCACCUCCUAGCAGCCACGGGCAAAGGCCAGACCUCU
This is a long non-coding RNA of Neomonachus schauinslandi (Hawaiian monk seal), 1048 nucleotides long. RefSeq lists it as uncharacterized. The transcript is spliced from 4 exons. NCBI's taxonomy places the organism in Eukaryota, Metazoa, Chordata, Mammalia, Carnivora, Phocidae. The record is from RefSeq and is a predicted model, not a curated record.